GAUGAAGAACGCAGUGAAAUGCGAUAAGUAAUGUGAAUUGCAGAAUUCAGUGAAUCAUCGAAUCUUUGAACGCACAUUGCGCCCGCUAGUAUUCUGGCGGGCAUGCCUGUUCGAGCGUCAUUUCAACCAUCAAGCCCUGCUUGUGUUGGGGUCCUGCGGCUGCCCGCAGGCCCUGAAAACCAGUGGCGGGCUCGCUAGUCACACCGAGCGCAGUAGCACAUCUCGCUCAGGGCGUGCGGCGGGUUCUUGCCGUAAAACACCCCCUUUUUACCAAGGUUGACCUCGGAUCAGGUAGGAAUACCCGCUGAACUUAAGCAUAUCAAUAAGCGGAGGA
This 334-nucleotide unclassified non-coding RNA is filed under the name soil metagenome. Its description in RNAcentral is "partial contains 5.8S ribosomal RNA, internal transcribed spacer 2, and large subunit ribosomal RNA". The stretch from base 1 to 120 matches the Rfam family "5.8S ribosomal RNA", at positions 35 to 154 of the family's 154-position model. The record is from RNAcentral.